Molecule: ribosomal RNA, 1876 nt
Filed under: Escherichia coli
Lineage: Bacteria; Pseudomonadati; Pseudomonadota; Gammaproteobacteria; Enterobacterales; Enterobacteriaceae
Description: partial 23S ribosomal RNA
Rfam family: Bacterial large subunit ribosomal RNA
Source: RNAcentral
ACGAUGUGGGAAGGCCCAGACAGCCAGGAUGUUGGCUUAGAAGCAGCCAUCAUUUAAAGAAAGCGUAAUAGCUCACUGGUCGAGUCGGCCUGCGCGGAAGAUGUAACGGGGCUAAACCAUGCACCGAAGCUGCGGCAGCGACGCUUAUGCGUUGUUGGGUAGGGGAGCGUUCUGUAAGCCUGCGAAGGUGUGCUGUGAGGCAUGCUGGAGGUAUCAGAAGUGCGAAUGCUGACAUAAGUAACGAUAAAGCGGGUGAAAAGCCCGCUCGCCGGAAGACCAAGGGUUCCUGUCCAACGUUAAUCGGGGCAGGGUGAGUCGACCCCUAAGGCGAGGCCGAAAGGCGUAGUCGAUGGGAAACAGGUUAAUAUUCCUGUACUUGGUGUUACUGCGAAGGGGGGACGGAGAAGGCUAUGUUGGCCGGGCGACGGUUGUCCCGGUUUAAGCGUGUAGGCUGGUUUUCCAGGCAAAUCCGGAAAAUCAAGGCUGAGGCGUGAUGACGAGGCACUACGGUGCUGAAGCAACAAAUGCCCUGCUUCCAGGAAAAGCCUCUAAGCAUCAGGUAACAUCAAAUCGUACCCCAAACCGACACAGGUGGUCAGGUAGAGAAUACCAAGGCGCUUGAGAGAACUCGGGUGAAGGAACUAGGCAAAAUGGUGCCGUAACUUCGGGAGAAGGCACGCUGAUAUGUAGGUGAAGCGACUUGCUCGUGGAGCUGAAAUCAGUCGAAGAUACCAGCUGGCUGCAACUGUUUAUUAAAAACACAGCACUGUGCAAACACGAAAGUGGACGUAUACGGUGUGACGCCUGCCCGGUGCCGGAAGGUUAAUUGAUGGGGUCAGCGCAAGCGAAGCUCUUGAUCGAAGCCCCGGUAAACGGCGGCCGUAACUAUAACGGUCCUAAGGUAGCGAAAUUCCUUGUCGGGUAAGUUCCGACCUGCACGAAUGGCGUAAUGAUGGCCAGGCUGUCUCCACCCGAGACUCAGUGAAAUUGAACUCGCUGUGAAGAUGCAGUGUACCCGCGGCAAGACGGAAAGACCCCGUGAACCUUUACUAUAGCUUGACACUGAACAUUGAGCCUUGAUGUGUAGGAUAGGUGGGAGGCUUUGAAGUGUGGACGCCAGUCUGCAUGGAGCCGACCUUGAAAUACCACCCUUUAAUGUUUGAUGUUCUAACGUUGACCCGUAAUCCGGGUUGCGGACAGUGUCUGGUGGGUAGUUUGACUGGGGCGGUCUCCUCCUAAAGAGUAACGGAGGAGCACGAAGGUUGGCUAAUCCUGGUCGGACAUCAGGAGGUUAGUGCAAUGGCAUAAGCCAGCUUGACUGCGAGCGUGACGGCGCGAGCAGGUGCGAAAGCAGGUCAUAGUGAUCCGGUGGUUCUGAAUGGAAGGGCCAUCGCUCAACGGAUAAAAGGUACUCCGGGGAUAACAGGCUGAUACCGCCCAAGAGUUCAUAUCGACGGCGGUGUUUGGCACCUCGAUGUCGGCUCAUCACAUCCUGGGGCUGAAGUAGGUCCCAAGGGUAUGGCUGUUCGCCAUUUAAAGUGGUACGCGAGCUGGGUUUAGAACGUCGUGAGACAGUUCGGUCCCUAUCUGCCGUGGGCGCUGGAGAACUGAGGGGGGCUGCUCCUAGUACGAGAGGACCGGAGUGGACGCAUCACUGGUGUUCGGGUUGUCAUGCCAAUGGCACUGCCCGGUAGCUAAAUGCGGAAGAGAUAAGUGCUGAAAGCAUCUAAGCACGAAACUUGCCCCGAGAUGAGUUCUCCCUGACUCCUUGAGAGUCCUGAAGGAACGUUGAAGACGACGACGUUGAUAGGCCGGGUGUGUAAGCGCAGCGAUGCGUUGAGCUAACCGGUACUAAUGAACCGUGAGGCUUAACCUU